CCUGGAUACUGAGGUGUCUCCUGUGUGCUUUGUUAACAGGACUUCUCUUGUGCACAUCCUGAACAAGCUUUGGAAUCUGAUGCAAACAGGAAUCCAGAGUGUUUACUUCUCUGUGUUUCCAGGAGCCUGGAAUUUGGCACCAGAGUUAAAAUAGUCUCGUGAGGCUGAUGAUGGCUGUGCUGUGAUUGGAUGUCGGUGUCCUCCACAUCCCUCCUGCCCUGCCCUGUUCAUACAGAAACCCCCAUCACCAAGUUCACAAUGAAGCUUUAAGGUUCAUAUUGAGUCAAGGAAUAUGAGUAAAUCCACAAUUGAAAUGAAAUGUGCAGCUGCCAUUAGGAUGGACAUCUCCUGGCUGUGUUCCUUACUGGCAUUUCGGCAACAACCUGUGUGACUGGAGACAACACACUCGGGUUUUGAUGAGUUGUGCUAAAGCCAGAAUGGCCAAGACGUGAGAGUAGAGAAGGAUUUACAGCCUGCGGCAGGGAAACUACUUCAGCAUAAAAUGAUCCUGUUAAAAGUGAGCUGUUUCUGAAGAGUGUACUGUUGUGUGGGAAGUCUGUAAUCAUGCUUUUCAUUUCUACUGCAUCUCUCUGUGGCUCAAAACAAGGCAGGUGUGUCCACAGAGAGUGGGAAUUCCAAAAGUACGCUAGACAAGACUCUCCCUAAAGUUUACCCACGUCUUACUCGUGUAACGAAUCACCUUCCUGUUAAUUAUAAAUUAGAUACAACCAUGGUUUUUUUUCUUUCCUUUGUCUUCGGUGUUUGCU
This is a long non-coding RNA of Microtus ochrogaster (prairie vole), 767 nucleotides long. RefSeq lists it as uncharacterized. Lineage: Eukaryota; Metazoa; Chordata; Mammalia; Rodentia; Cricetidae. The record is from RefSeq and is a predicted model, not a curated record. The transcript has 4 exons.